Molecule: small nucleolar RNA, 91 nt
Filed under: Plasmodium gaboni
Lineage: Eukaryota; Apicomplexa; Aconoidasida; Haemosporida; Plasmodiidae
Also listed under: 1 other name
Description: small nucleolar RNA snoR18
Rfam family: small nucleolar RNA snoR18
Source: RNAcentral
UAUAAAGUCAUAUGAUGAUUACAAUGAUAGGACUGAAAAAAAAUUUCAUGUUGAUAAAUUUAAUAGCCGAUAAUAUAAAUAUGCUGAUUCC